Molecule: transfer RNA, 57 nt
Organism: Ovis aries (sheep)
Lineage: Eukaryota; Metazoa; Chordata; Mammalia; Artiodactyla; Bovidae
Rfam family: tRNA
About the family: Transfer RNA (tRNA) molecules are approximately 80 nucleotides in length. Their secondary structure includes four short double-helical elements and three loops (D, anti-codon, and T loops).
Source: Rfam
UAGCUCAGAUGGUAAAGAAUCUGCCUGUAAUGCAGAAGACCCAGGUUCGAUUCCUGG